CCGAUUUAUCAAUCUGCAAUGACAUGUACGCUCAUUUCGACCAGGUGCGACCGUUUUGUGAGUCACAGUUAGAGAUUAUCGUAAGUCUCUCCCAACGUUGGAAUCUGAGAUAUUUUCUGAAAAGGUUUCAUGAAUUAGGUCCAAUGUCUCAGACACCUAGACAAAUCGUCUUUGUUUUUUGUGGCCUUGGAUAUGAGUUUCUGCUGGGUGCGAAUGACUGGGAUUGGGUCUCCUCUAUCACUAGAAGACUGUACUCUUGCAACGUUCUGUACAAAGCAGGGACAGAAUUUCAUGCAGAAAUUCCCUUCAUUGCCAAGAGCCCCCACAUAUAAUGGAACAGGCAAGAGAUCAUUAAAACACACCAUAUGAGUGACACUUGAGUCCUGACAAUGAUGUUGCAGAGCUCUGCAGCUCCGUUAAGGUGUUGUUGGCCUCUUGGCUGCCUCCCUUCUUCCUUGGCCUGCCAUCAACACUGGUGCAACGGUGUGAUCUUGGCGAUGUCCCAGUGGUGCCAUAUUCCAUCCACUUCGUAUUGAUGAUCUUCCCAGUGUAACAGAACACAUCAUUGUCCGUUUGAAAAACAGAUGUUCUGUUCAGCUACAUCUUUUUGAGAGAGAGCCUCACAUUAUCCUCAAGAAUUCUCAGAUCCUAAUGCCAGCGCCUCCAUGCUUAAUGUCUCCGGACCUGAAUUCAAUUGAAAACCUGUGGGUAGAAUUGAAGAGAGGAGUCCACAAGCACAAACCUAAGCUAAUCAAUGAGCUUGAAAUAUGCUGCAUGGAGGAGUUGUGCAAGAUGCCUCCAAAAGAGAGUGUCAACCUUGUCUGGCUUUACAGGAAGAAGCUCAGUGCUGUUAUCCACUCCAGGACUUCAGGGGAGUCUUCACAAAAUAUUGACUGUAUACUACAAGUACACUACACAUUCAAUGUUUUGUUUGAGUAAUGAUUGCAUUGUUAGGAAACUAUAUGGCUCCCCGUUAUUUUUGAGUUCAUUAUUUGUGUUGUUAAUUUUUUGCAUUCACUUUAGCUCAAUUUCAUGAAGCAUGCCAAUAGUGCUUGAGUUUACUGUACAGGGAUCUUGCUUCCUGUCUUCCUGAAUAGGCCUUGUCAAAAUAAAAUUAUAAUUGGAAAAGAUCAUCUUCACUGGUAAACGUGUUUACAUGGGUAUUUUUUGGCUCUCAGGUCUCAAGUCUUUUAUUUUAAAAAACUGGGUGUAUGUUUUGAUUUCAUAAAUCUAUCAUGACAAUCAACAAACAACAAACCAAAAAAGGAUUGUUACUCUCAAGUCAGUAAAAAGAGUCAUUCCAAAAGAACGAAUAGUGUGUAAACAUCACUAGUGGUGGGUUGUUUGUGAAGAAUUGUUCUUUUAAAUUGCUCUUUUUGGUGAACGUUGGGCAUGUGAAAGGUGCUGUUCAUUUGACUCCUUAAUUUUUAAGCUCAAACAACGAUUAAUUGCAUGUUAAGUGAAAAGGUAUUCACUACAUAUUGUAUAUCCACCCUACAGAAAUAAUUAAAAGAGG
Long non-coding RNA from Esox lucius (northern pike), 1516 nucleotides. The record is from Ensembl. Lineage: Eukaryota; Metazoa; Chordata; Actinopteri; Esociformes; Esocidae.